GACGAACGCUGGCGGCGUGCUUAACACAUGCAAGUCGAACGGAAAGGCCCUGCUUUUGUGGGGUGCUCGAGUUGCGACCGGGUGAGUAACACGUGAGUAACCUGCCCUUGACUUUGGGAUAACUUCAGGAAACUGGGGCUAAUACCGGAUAGGAGCUCCUGCUGCUUGGUGGGGGUUGGAAAGUUUCGGCGGUUGGGGAUGGACUCGCGGCUCAUCAGCUUGUUGGUGGGGUAGUGGCUUACCAAGGCUUUGACGGGUAGCCGGCCUGAGAGGGUGACCGGACCAACUGGGACGGAGCUGAGGCACAGCCUAGUACGGGACGCAACGGAGCGGAAGAGUACAUUAGGGGCGGAAGGCUGAUGUAGCCAAGCCGCGUGCGGGAUGAGGGGCAGCGGGUUGUAUACCGCUUUCGUCUGUGACGAAGCGUGAGUGACGGUACUGGGUAAAGAAGCACCGGCUAACUACGUG
This 468-nucleotide ribosomal RNA is filed under the name uncultured bacterium. RNAcentral describes it as "partial 16S ribosomal RNA". It matches the Rfam family "Bacterial small subunit ribosomal RNA", at positions 28 to 507 of the family's 1533-position model. The record is from RNAcentral.